This 609-nucleotide ribosomal RNA is filed under the name uncultured bacterium. Its description in RNAcentral is "bacterial SSU rRNA". The stretch from base 1 to 517 matches the Rfam family "Bacterial small subunit ribosomal RNA", at positions 338 to 873 of the family's 1533-position model. The record is from RNAcentral.
CCUACGGGAGGCAGCAGUGGGGAAUCUUGCGCAAUGGGCGAAAGCCUGACGCAGCCAUGCCGCGUGAAUGAUGAAGGUCUUAGGAUUGUAAAAUUCUUUCACCGGGGACGAUAAUGACGGUACCCGGAGAAGAAGCCCCGGCUAACUUCGUGCCAGCAGCCGCGGUAAUACGAAGGGGGCUAGCGUUGCUCGGAAUUACUGGGCGUAAAGGGAGCGUAGGCGGAUAGUUUAGUCAGAGGUGAAAGCCCAGGGCUCAACCUUGGAAUUGCCUUUGAUACUGGCUAUCUUGAGUACGGAAGAGGUAUGUGGAACUCCGAGUGUAGAGGUGAAAUUCGUAGAUAUUCGGAAGAACACCAGUGGCGAAGGCGACAUACUGGUCCGUUACUGACGCUGAGGCUCGAAAGCGUGGGGAGCAAACAGGAUUAGAUACCCUGGUAGUCCACGCUGUAAACGAUGAGUGNUAGUGUCGGCGAUGNANNNUGUCGGUGCGCGAGCUACGACAUAAGUACACUCCGCCGUCGGGUAGGUACGGUCGGCGAGUAAGUAAACGUAACUUAAUUAGUAGUUAGUUACGGCGNGAGAGNGCGACGACGACGACGAGGGAGGAGG